RNAcentral lists this ribosomal RNA (2896 nucleotides) under Acinetobacter sp. AOR07_HL. Its description in RNAcentral is "23S ribosomal RNA". It matches the Rfam family "Bacterial large subunit ribosomal RNA". The record is from RNAcentral. Lineage: Bacteria; Pseudomonadati; Pseudomonadota; Gammaproteobacteria; Moraxellales; Moraxellaceae.
AGUCAAGUAAUUAAGUGCAUGUGGUGGAUGCCUUGGCAGUCAGAGGCGAUGAAAGACGUGAUAGCCUGCGAAAAGCUCCGGGGAGGCGGCAAAUAUCCUUUGAUCCGGAGAUGUCUGAAUGGGGGAACCCACCUACUUUAAGGUAGGUAUUGCAACAUGAAUACAUAGUGUUGCAAGGCGAACGAGGGGAAGUGAAACAUCUCAGUACCCUUAGGAAAAGAAAUCAAUUGAGAUUCCCUCAGUAGCGGCGAGCGAACGGGGAUCAGCCCAUUAAGUUAUGUGUGUUUUAGUGGAACGCUCUGGGAAGUGCGAACGUAGAGGGUGAUAUUCCCGUACACGAAAGGGCACACAUAAUGAUGACGAGUAGGGCGAGGCACGUGAAACCUUGUCUGAAUAUGGGGGGACCAUCCUCCAAGGCUAAAUACUCCUGACUGACCGAUAGUGAACCAGUACCGUGAGGGAAAGGCGAAAAGAACCCCUGUGAGGGGAGUGAAAUAGAUCCUGAAACCGCAUGCAUACAAGCAGUGGGAGCACCUUCGUGGUGUGACUGCGUACCUUUUGUAUAAUGGGUCAGCGACUUAUAUUCAGUAGCGAGGUUAACCGUAUAGGGGAGCCGUAGUAGAGAAAUCGAGUCUUAAUAGGGCGUUUAGUUGCUGGGUAUAGACCCGAAACCAGGCGAUCUAUCCAUGAGCAGGUUGAAGGUUGGGUAACACUAACUGGAGGACCGAACCCACUGUCGUUGAAAAGCCAGGGGAUGACUUGUGGAUAGGGGUGAAAGGCUAAUCAAGCCUGGUGAUAGCUGGUUCUCCCCGAAAGCUAUUUAGGUAGCGCCUCGGACGAAUACCAUAGGGGGUAGAGCACUGUUUCGGCUAGGGGGUCAUCCCGACUUACCAAACCGAUGCAAACUCCGAAUACCUAUGAGUACUAUCCGGGAGACAGACUGCGGGUGCUAACGUCCGUAGUCAAGAGGAAAACAAUCCAGACCGCCAGCUAAGGCCCCAAAAUCAUAGUUAAGUGGGAAACGAUGUGGGAAGGCAUAGACAGCUAGGAGGUUGGCUUAGAAGCAGCCACCCUUUAAAGAAAGCGUAAUAGCUCACUAGUCGAGUCGGCCUGCGCGGAAGAUGUAACGGGGCUAAAACUAUGUGCCGAAGCUGCGGAUGUAUACUUUGUAUACGUGGUAGGGGAGCGUUCUGUAAGCCGAUGAAGGUGUGUUGAGAAGCAUGCUGGAGGUAUCAGAAGUGCGAAUGCUGACGUGAGUAACGACAAAACGGGUGAAAAACCCGUUCGCCGAAAGACCAAGGGUUCCAGUCCAACGUUAAUCGGGGCUGGGUGAGUCGACCCCUAAGGCGAGGCCGAAAGGCGUAGUCGAUGGGAAAAUGGUUAAUAUUCCAUUACUUCUGUGUAAUGCGAUGAGAGGACGGAGAAGGCUAAAUCAGCCUGGCGUUGGUUGUCCAGGUGAAAGGAUGUAGGCAUGUAUCUUAGGCAAAUCCGGGGUACUCUAUGCUGAGAUCUGAUAGCAAGCUGUACUUGUACAGCGAAGUGGUUGAUGCCAUGCUUCCAGGAAAAGUCUCUAAGCUUCAGUUACACAGGAAUCGUACCCGAAACCGACACAGGUGGUCAGGUCGAGUAGACCAAGGCGCUUGAGAGAACUCUGCUGAAGGAACUAGGCAAAAUGGUACCGUAACUUCGGGAGAAGGUACGCUGUUGUUGGUGAUGGAACUCGCUUCCUGAGCUGACGACAGCCGCAGAAACCAGGCCGCUGCAACUGUUUAUUAAAAACAUAGCACUCUGCAAACACGAAAGUGGACGUAUAGGGUGUGAUGCCUGCCCGGUGCUGGAAGGUUAAUUGAUGGGGUUAGCGUAAGCGAAGCUCUUGAUCGAAGCCCCAGUAAACGGCGGCCGUAACUAUAACGGUCCUAAGGUAGCGAAAUUCCUUGUCGGGUAAGUUCCGACCUGCACGAAUGGCAUAAUGAUGGCGGCGCUGUCUCCAGCAGAGGCUCAGUGAAAUCGAAAUCGCUGUGAAGAUGCAGUGUACCCGCGGCUAGACGGAAAGACCCCGUGAACCUUUACUGCAGCUUGACACUGAACUUUGACCUUACUUGUGUAGGAUAGGUGGGAGGCUUUGAAGCUGGAACGCUAGUUCCAGUGGAGCCGUCCUUGAAAUACCACCCUGGUAAUGUUGAGGUUCUAACUCUGUCCCGUGAUCCGGGACGAGGACCGUGUCUGGUGGGUAGUUUGACUGGGGCGGUCUCCUCCUAAAGAGUAACGGAGGAGUACGAAGGUGCGCUCAGCGUGGUCGGAAAUCACGCGUAGAGUAUAAAGGCAAAAGCGCGCUUAACUGCGAGACCCACAAGUCGAGCAGGUACGAAAGUAGGUCUUAGUGAUCCGGUGGUUCUGUAUGGAAGGGCCAUCGCUCAACGGAUAAAAGGUACUCUGGGGAUAACAGGCUGAUACCGCCCAAGAGUUCAUAUCGACGGCGGUGUUUGGCACCUCGAUGUCGGCUCAUCUCAUCCUGGGGCUGAAGCAGGUCCCAAGGGUAUGGCUGUUCGCCAUUUAAAGAGGUACGCGAGCUGGGUUUAGAACGUCGUGAGACAGUUCGGUCCCUAUCUACCGUGGGCGCUGGAAAUUUGAGAGGAUCUGCUCCUAGUACGAGAGGACCAGAGUGGACGAACCUCUGGUGUACCGGUUGUGACGCCAGUCGCAUCGCCGGGUAGCUAUGUUCGGAAGGGAUAACCGCUGAAAGCAUCUAAGCGGGAAGCCUACCUCAAGAUAAGAUUUCCCUAGGACUUUAUGUCCUCUAAAGAGCCGUUCGAGACUAGGACGUUGAUAGGUUGGAUGUGGAAGCAUAGUGAUAUGUGAAGCUGACCAAUACUAAUUGCUCGUGAGGCUUGACUAU